This 106-nucleotide small nuclear RNA is filed under the name Scophthalmus maximus (turbot). Lineage: Eukaryota; Metazoa; Chordata; Actinopteri; Pleuronectiformes; Scophthalmidae. The record is from RNAcentral.
UUGUUACUACGGUAACAAAUAUACUAAAAUUGGAACGAUACAGAGAAGAAUAGCAUGGCCCCUGUGCAAGGACGACACGCACAUUCGGGAAGCCACCCUUAAAUGG